AUACGGAGGGUGCGAGCGUUAAUCGGAAUUACUGGGCGUAAAGCGCGCGUAGGCGGUCUAUUAAGUCAGAUGUGAAAUCCCAGGGCUCAACCUUGGAACUGCAUCUGAUACUGGUAGACUAGAGUUUUGGAGAGGGAAGUAGAAUUUCAGGUGUAGCGGUGAAAUGCAUAGAGAUCUGAAGGAAUACCAGUGGCGAAGGCGACUUCCUGGCCAAAAACUGACGCUGAGGUGCGAAAGCGUGGGUAGCAAACGGGAUUAGAAACCCUUGUAGUCC
RNAcentral lists this ribosomal RNA (274 nucleotides) under uncultured bacterium. Its description in RNAcentral is "partial 16S ribosomal RNA". It matches the Rfam family "Bacterial small subunit ribosomal RNA", at positions 523 to 796 of the family's 1533-position model. The record is from RNAcentral.